GUACACGCUGUGACUAGCAUAUCAAUAAGCGGAGGAAAAGAAACUAACAAGGAUUCCCUCAGUACGGCGAGUGAAGCGGGAAGAGCUCAAAGUUUGAAAUCUUGAAAGGUCACCUUUCACGAAUUGUAGUUUAAAGAAGUGUUUUCUGUUACGAUCGUAAUAUAAGUUCUUUGGAAUAGGACAUCACAGAGGGUGAGAAUCCCGUCUAUGAUUGCGAUUUGUAGCUUUGUGAUACACUUUCAAAGAGUCGGGUUGUUUGGGAAUGCAGCCCAAAACGGGAGGUAAAUUUCUUCUGAAGGCUAAAUAUUGGCGAGAGACCGAUAGCGAACAAGUACCGUGAGGGAAAGAUGAAAAGAACUUUGAAAAGAGAGUUAAAUAGUACGUGAAAUUCGUCAAAAGGGAAGCGUUUAACACCAGUGUUCGUUUUCUGAAAAUCAACCUCUGUUAGCUUUAUGCAUGUUUGUUUAGACCUAAUCAGCUAUCUUUCAUGUUCUAUUGUUUGCAGUGGUGCACUUUUCAGUUUACAGGUCAACAUCAGUUUUUUUUACCGUAAAAAAGUUAAAGAAAGGUAGCUCAUGGCUCCGGUCGUGAGUGUUAUAGUCUUUUUCCUAUGCGGUAGGAGAGACUGAGGUCUGCAGUGUAGGCUAUUUGGCUAGAUACUCAGGUGCUAUGUGAUACCAUUUCAUAAACAACUUGUUGAUUAUGUUUUGUCUAUUGCAUACUCGCUUGUACUAUCAUACCUACGCUUAGGAUGUUGAGUAGCGACAUACGCAC
RNAcentral lists this ribosomal RNA (774 nucleotides) under uncultured Neocallimastigales. Its description in RNAcentral is "partial large subunit ribosomal RNA". The stretch from base 4 to 664 matches the Rfam family "Eukaryotic large subunit ribosomal RNA", at positions 24 to 664 of the family's 3401-position model. Lineage: Eukaryota; Fungi; Neocallimastigomycota; Neocallimastigomycetes; Neocallimastigales. The record is from RNAcentral.